Manis pentadactyla (Chinese pangolin) is the source of this 1174-nucleotide long non-coding RNA. RefSeq lists it as uncharacterized. The record is from RefSeq and is a predicted model, not a curated record. Lineage: Eukaryota; Metazoa; Chordata; Mammalia; Pholidota; Manidae. The transcript has 3 exons.
CUCACACUCACACAUCCAUACGCAGAGUGGCCCGUGAAACGACAGCCUCCCAAGGCCCUCUACGAGUCACGCUCUCUGCUUCCCAGUUUUCAAUUAUCUUGGGCAUAUACCUUGGAACAGAACCGCCAGAUCUCAGGUCACUCUACACUUAACUUUCUGAUGAAGUGCCUGUUUCCUCAGCAACUGCACCAUUUCACAGUCCCACCAGGGCACGAGGGUUCCAGAUUCCCCACAUCCUGCAUUAACACUUAUCGUCUGUCUUUGAUUUCAGCCAUCCUCAUCGGGGUGAAGAGAGAUGCAAGUCUGCUCUAAGGCAUCAGAGGAGCUGUGGUCAUGCUGCCCAGGGAGACUGACAGUUCUGCCUUCUUCUGAGAAGCAGCACUUUGACUGCCUGGUCCUGGGUGAUUUAAAGAAGACACACCGAGAUGGCCCAGGCAGCCCUUGCCCUGCCUGGACUGGCCUGCCAGGCUGAAUACAAGUAGUGAGAACAGAGAUCCUUGUCUUACUCCUAAGCUUAGGGAAUUGUUUUCCAGACCCAAGACUUGGACAUUUUUAUAGAUUAAGGGAAAGGAAUCAAUGGGGAAGGAGACUUAAGGACAUGCACAGAAGGGGGGAUAACUGACAAAGUAAGAUCCAGGGGAGGCCAGUGGAAGGAAGGUGGUCACUUCCUCCAGAGACGGGAGGAAAACCAAAAGGGAAUAAUAUAGGUGAGGCUGGUGUUAGGGGAGGAUAGCGGUCCUUCACAGAACAGUCUCUCUUCCCAGUGAGGAGGUCAUUGUGGGGACAAGAGUAGGGCUAUGGGCUUGAAGCAAAGAGUAAAAAUGGGAACUUGCUAUUGGCAGGGAAGGAACUCAGGCCAGCUGGUGAAAGGAUGAUCAGCCAGGGGGACAGGCCAGGGCUUGUCUGUCUUUUCUGUGCCACCACUCGAGUGUCUCUUCUGCCUUUGAGUUCUGUCUCACUGACUCUUCGCUGUUUCUCUCCUGGUAUUAUAUAGGAAUAUCUGGAAGCUGAAAUAAUACUGAAAAUGGAUUAUAUCAGUUGAAGGCACAUUUCUUGAUCUUAAAGUUGGAUGUUUGAUAUGUUUCUUCUUCAAAAAACGGAGUUGACUAAUUGUCUUCUUUGCUAUACUCUCCUUAAUAGAAGACAGAACCCACCUCCCUAUUUCCAAUUUUUA